GAGGAAGAGUCCCCCACACUGGUACUGAGACACGGACCAGACUCCUACGGAAGGCAGCAG
Molecule: ribosomal RNA, 60 nt
Filed under: uncultured bacterium
Lineage: Bacteria
Description: partial 16S ribosomal RNA
Source: RNAcentral